Molecule: long non-coding RNA, 2250 nt
Filed under: Mus musculus (house mouse)
Lineage: Eukaryota; Metazoa; Chordata; Mammalia; Rodentia; Muridae
Description: long non-coding RNA chr14:119679681-119681931
Source: RNAcentral
AGUGGGGCAGAGUCAUCCAAGCAAGGUCACUGACUAUGUGAAAGUUAAUAGUUGUUUCUUGAAAAUAAAAGUCACGAGAACAUUAGAGCACGAAGAAUAUAAUUACUAUGAGAGGGAGAAUAGAUGAAGAGAAUAUUUUCAUUUUAAAAUGUAAUUCACUUAAAACAAAAUGUGAUAAAUAGCGCUUGGACAACUAAGGUCAUCUGGGCUGCUCGCGGUAAUUCAAUUAGGGGGGAAUCUGAAAGCGGUAAGUGGGUGGUAGGUGGGAGCUGUAAAAGCACUGAACUGUUAAUAAUCUGAGACUUUUCCAUCCCUUUAUGCGGAUGAGAGUGGAUCAAUUAUGUGAACGCAUAAGUCUCCGUAUUGUCCUCAUUUCAUAGAUGGGCCCUGGGGGAGAGGUUCCCCAGUGCUGGGAUGGAGCGAUGCCUCUUGGAAGAGCCUGACAGGCUCCAUCCUGACUUUACUUGGGGAAAAUAUAACAGCUUUCUUUCUUUCAAGUGAUAAUUUUGACAUCCUGAAGGCAGAACACUCCUUGGAUUUGGAGUGAACGUUCAGUUGCAUCCGGAGAGAACACUUAGUACUGAGCUGAGGACCAGGAAGACCAGCCAGCUAUCCUAACAACACGUGGGUAGGGGAUGCAGAGAUUUUUCUCAGAAUUUUUAGAUUUAGGUGGGCUUCUUUACAGCAUGCAGCAGACACUGUGGGUGGAUUCCAAAUUUAAUUUUACCCCAAGCAAAUCUGCUAACAGUGUUUAUGUUUUUCAAGUGAAAUAUAUUAAAAAAAAACAACAACAACAACCAUGCAGUUCUUAGUUUGAUAAAUAAAAAUAUAUUCAGGAAGAUAAUAAGACUAUCUUACAAAAUUCAAAAACAUAUUAUUUCCAUGUAUGUGUGGCACAUCAAAGUUAAGUGGAGUUUAUUAUAUAUUCUGUCACUCUGAAUGUUAAAUCCUAUGUCUAGUUAACAUAACAUGGAUGGUUUGUAGAGAUAAUUAAGAAUUCAUACUAGAAGAUAGGCUCUUCAGGUGUGGUGUUGAAUAACCAGCACUCUGGAGAAUAAUGCUAAAGGAUUGCCACGAGUUCAAGGCCGUGCUGGGCAAGUACCAGUCACCUACUUUGAGCUAUAGAUUAGGACCUGUCUAUACCAAAUCUUAAAUCCAACUAAAGAAAAGCAAAGAAAGAACAUAUACUUUUUGUCCUAAUGUUAAUCAAUAAAGUUAUAUAGAAAAGACAGAUUGUCUAAAUGUACCCAUUGUCUUUCAGAUUUCUGACAGAUGAAAAAGGAAUUAAACAAGUGUGAAACACCACUGUAACCAUUUGUAAAAAAAAAAAAUCAAACUACAUGCAUUUCCAUUAGGUUUCUCAAUGCAUUGACAAAAUACCUGGCAAGAAUAGCUGAAAGAAAUCUUUGUUUCAGCAGGCAUGGUAGCAAGAGCUUGAGGAGGCAGGCCAUGCUGUGCCAGCCAUUAGGAAAGAUAAGGAGAUAGGUGCUGGUUCUCACUGAACCAUAUCUCCAUUUUGCUCAGUAGAGCAUCUCAGGCCAUAGGAUGGCUCACAUUCACAGUGGGUCUUCCAACCUCGGCCAACAGAAUCUAGAAAAUCUAUACCAAGCACAGUCACAGGGCUGUCUUCUAGGUUAUUCUUUAUCUGGUCAAGUUGACAACCAAAUUAAAUCAUCACAACAUAUGUUGGUCAUGUAGACAUGAUAUUUUAAGGAGAGCUGAAAGGGGACAAACUAUUUUUAAUCAAGUUCAAAUCCAAAUUAAAAUCCUUCCAUAAUUUCAUGAACAUUUUACUCAAUGCAUCCAUUCUGGAGAAGAUUAUAAAGAAAAGUUUCUACGUGGUCCUGGUUUGUUAUCACAUUAUGGAAACAGGAGAAAGAGAGAGAGAAGGAGAUACUUGGCUCCAGUAAUGAAAUGAAUGGAGAAAUGUUUGAAAACUAUUUAGCCAUUUAAAAUCACACUUUUCUUUCCUUUUGUUUUUACAUUUUAUUUUUCUAUGUAUUCAUUUAUUUUCCAGUAGUGUGGAUGACACCAAUGUCUGCAAAUGUGCAAAGUAAGUGCUGUACCAUUGAACUGUAUCUUCAGGCUUACUUUCCGUGUAAGUUAAAAAAGAGAUGUUCUUGGCCCUUUAAUCGGGCAUUUAUCUACAUCCUGCCUGUACUUUACUAUUCUUUAUCCUUUUGUACCUACCCACCAAAAGAUGUCAUUUUAGGUGCAUUCAAUUGGGUCACCCUUAAAAUGUAUCCCCCC